AGGUAAGCUACUAAGAGCGAAUGGUGGAUGCCUUGACUGGUAAAGGCGAUGAAGGACGUACUAGACUGCGAUAAGCUACGGGGAGCUGUCAAGAAGCUUUGAUCCGUAGAUUUCCGAAUGGGGCAACCCAAUGUAUAGAGAUAUACAUUACCUAUAUAGGAGCGAACGAGGGGAAUUGAAACAUCUUAGUACCCUCAGGAAAAGAAAUCAAUAGAGAUUGCGUCAGUAGCGGCGAGCGAAAGCGCAAGAGGGCAAACCCAGUGCUUGCACUGGGGGUUGUAGGACUGCAAUGUGCAAGAGCUGAGUUUAGCAGAACAUUCUGGAAAGUAUAGCCAUAGAGGGUGAUAGUCCCGUAUGCGAAAAACAAAGCUUAGCUAGCAGUAUCCUGAGUAGGGCGGGACACGAGGAAUCCUGUCUGAAUCCGGGUCGACCACGAUCCAACCCUAAAUACUAAUACCAGAUCGAUAGUGCACAAGUACCGUGAGGGAAAGGUGAAAAGAACUGAGGUGAUCAGAGUGAAAUAGAACCUGAAACCAUUUGCUUACAAUCAUUCAGAGCACUAUGUAGCAAUACAGUGUGAUGGACUGCCUUUUGCAUAAUGAGCCUGCGAGUUGUGGUGUCUGGCAAGGUUAAGCAAACGCGAAGCCGUAGCGAAAGCGAGUCUGAAUAGGGCGCUUAGUCAGAUGCUGCAGACCCGAAACGAAGUGAUCUAUCCAUGAGCAAGUUGAAGCUAGUGUAAGAACUAGUGGAGGACUGAACCCAUAGGCGUUGAAAAGCCCCGGGAUGACUUGUGGAUAGGGGUGAAAGGCCAAUCAAACUUCGUGAUAGCUGGUUCUCUCCGAAAUAUAUUUAGGUAUAGCGUUGUGUCGUAAUAUAAGGGGGUAGAGCACUGAAUGGGCUAGGGCAUACACCAAUGUACCAAACCCUAUCAAACUCCGAAUACCUUAUAUGUAAUCACAGCAGUCAGGCGGCGAGUGAUAAAAUCCGUCGUCAAGAGGGAAACAACCCAGACUACCAGCUAAGGUCCCUAAGUCUUACUUAAGUGGAAAACGAUGUGAAGUUACUUAAACAACCAGGAGGUUGGCUUAGAAGCAGCCAUCCUUUAAAGAAAGCGUAAUAGCUCACUGGUCUAGUGAUUUUGCGCGGAAAAUAUAACGGGGCUAAAGUAAGUACCGAAGCUGUAGACUUAGUUUACUAAGUGGUAGGAGAGCGUUCUAUUUGCGUCGAAGGUAUACCGGUAAGGAGUGCUGGAGCGAAUAGAAGUGAGCAUGCAGGCAUGAGUAGCGAUAAUUAAUGUGAGAAUCAUUAACGCCGUAAACCCAAGGUUUCCUACGCGAUGCUCGUCAUCGUAGGGUUAGUCGGGUCCUAAGUCGAGUCCGAAAGGGGUAGACGAUGGCAAAUUGGUUAAUAUUCCAAUACCAACAUUAGUGUGCGAUGGAAGGACGCUUAGGGCUAAGGGGGCUAGCGGAUGGAAGUGCUAGUCUAAGGUCGUAGGAGGUUAUACAGGCAAAUCCGUAUAACAAUACUCCGAGAACUGAAAGGCUUUUUGAAGUCUUCGGAUGGAUAGAAGAACCCCUGAUGCCGUCGAGCCAAGAAAAGUUUCUAAGUUUAGCUAAUGUUGCCCGUACCGUAAACCGACACAGGUGGGUGGGAUGAGUAUUCUAAGGCGCGUGGAAGAACUCUCUUUAAGGAACUCUGCAAAAUAGCACCGUAUCUUCGGUAUAAGGUGUGGUUAGCUUUGUAUUAGGAUUUACUCCGAAAGCAAGGAAACUUACAACAAAGAGUCCCUCCCGACUGUUUACCAAAAACACAGCACUCUGCUAACUCGUAAGAGGAUGUAUAGGGUGUGACGCCUGCCCGGUGCUCGAAGGUUAAUUGAUGGGGUUAGCAUUAGCGAAGCUCUUGAUCGAAGCCCGAGUAAACGGCGGCCGUAACUAUAACGGUCCUAAGGUAGCGAAAUUCCUUGUCGGUUAAAUACCGACCUGCAUGAAUGGCGUAACGAGAUGGGAGCUGUCUCAAAGAGGGAUCCAGUGAAAUUGUAGUGGAGGUGAAAAUUCCUCCUACCCGCGGCAAGACGGAAAGACCCCGUGGACCUUUACUACAGCUUGACACUGCUACUUGGAUAAGAAUGUGCAGGAUAGGUGGGAGGCUUUGAGUAUAUGACGCCAGUUGUAUAUGAGCCAUUGUUGAGAUACCACUCUUUCUUAUUUGGGUAGCUAACCAGCUUGAGUUAUCCU
This 2237-nucleotide ribosomal RNA is filed under the name Campylobacter jejuni. RNAcentral's name for it is "partial 23S ribosomal RNA". It matches the Rfam family "Bacterial large subunit ribosomal RNA", at positions 1 to 2242 of the family's 2925-position model. Lineage: Bacteria; Pseudomonadati; Campylobacterota; Epsilonproteobacteria; Campylobacterales; Campylobacteraceae. The record is from RNAcentral.